This 765-nucleotide ribosomal RNA is filed under the name Triticum aestivum (bread wheat). RNAcentral's name for it is "partial small subunit ribosomal RNA". The record is from RNAcentral. Lineage: Eukaryota; Viridiplantae; Streptophyta; Magnoliopsida; Poales; Poaceae.
AUGAACGGUCGGUUUCCCAUGAAUUUUCCAUAUAUCCUGUGCAACACUGUCUUCAAACAGUCCCUCUCUCUGGGAUCAUCAGAAUCAAACAGGUCAAGCAGCUUUGAGAUGAAUUUACUGUCCACAUACUUCCUAGCCACCUUGGGGUCAACAAAUGGCGAGGUCACAAACCGCAGAAGCAAUUCAUACACAACUUGCAGGUGGUACCAAGAGGGGUCGAAGAAGGGCUCGUCCUCCUCCGUCUCCGACGCGGUGCUGCCUGACCGGACCUUGGGCGGGAAGACCCUGAAGAGGUUCACAGCGAACAUGCGCACGCACGCCGACAUCAUGGCCUCCGUGAGGGGCUCCUCGGCGGCGCCAAUGGAGUCGACGAGGGACAUGAGGACCUGCCGCUUCCUCUCCUUCUCCGGCGAGUCCUUGCCCCGGUCGGUGAAGUCGUACACCGUGCAGCAAAUGGUCACCUUCUCGAUGAAGGCGUCCUCCCUGGACCUCCCCUCGGCCCCGGCGGCCCCCGAGGGGGACCUGGGCGAGGCGGGGGGCUUCCCGAAUGCCCCAUUCUCCCUGGGGGACAUGGGAUUGGACUUCGCCGUGGGCGAGCCCCCACCGCCGCCGCCGCCAGGGCCAGAUUUCAGCGAUUUCCACGACAGCUUGCCGAUAAAUUGCUUCCACAUGGCGGCAGAAUACGGCGGCACCAACACCACAUCAAAUUCUCCCCCAAUCAAAGAACCAUUGCGAGAAAUCCGUCCUCCGGGGAACCGACCGUGA